RNAcentral lists this long non-coding RNA (5120 nucleotides) under Homo sapiens (human). RNAcentral's name for it is "non-protein coding lnc-AKR1D1-5:4". The record is from RNAcentral. Lineage: Eukaryota; Metazoa; Chordata; Mammalia; Primates; Hominidae.
CUCUUCCUAAAUCCCGAGCGAAAGCCCAAGCUGAACAUGAACUCUGCCCGGAGGCGACGGGCUGCGGCGGAGGGGGAGAGAGAGGAGGACAGGCUGCGACCCCGGGCUGGGGACGCCAGGGCAGGGACAGCGAGCAUCAGGAAGGAGAGCGUCCGGGGAACUCGAGUGGCCGCGCCCUGGGUCCUGCACCGUGAGGCUGGGGGGACCAGGACCGGCGGGCGCCCACCUUGGUCCUGAGCCCAGCUGCCGACGCUGGGCCAGCACCCUCUCCACCGCCGCCCUCCAGUGAGCAGAGCUGGGCUCAGGCAGCAGCCCCUGGGCGCGGGAAGGUAGCGGGAGCUGCAUUUAGGGGAGGGGGGAGGUAGCAGGAGCUCCGCCAGUGGGAACCUUGGAGUGAAUUCGUCGGCGGGUGCCAAGUCGAAGCGCCGACCUCCUGUCUCUGGACUGGGGCCCGGACCCCUGCGUCCCCAAACUGCGUCCCCGCCUUGCUCGUCGCCCGGUGCCUUCCUUAGGCGCAGCAGACCCUCGGUAAACAGCGGUUAAUUCGAUGGAAUCGGAUCACAGGGCCCUCGGUGAAGCAGAAAGGCGGAGGAAAUCCAGGAGGCAGAAGUGAGGACCCUGGCGCCUGGCGCCGCUGCGUUGUUCGUAUAAGAAGAGGCAUCCCGGAAGGGGCUUCAAACCACUUAGGACCGACUGCUGAAACGAAUCCAAGCUUGUGGUGUCUGCAGAAUUUAACUGUCCGCCUCAACCCCAGUUUUUGUUUCUAAGAUUAUCGAAAACUGUGCGGUUUGAGUGAUGUGCUACAAAGUGUUUAAAACAGAUUGUUUCCCAAAUUAGGGGUUUCCACACAAGAAAUCGCUGCUGUCGGCAAACACAGGAACUAUCUAUGGUUAAGACAAGGUGGUGUUCGUAACCAAACUAUAAACCUACAUAUACGAGGUGGUAAGAGAACCAGACCAAUGAACAGUUUCAGGCUGGCGUGGUGUGCCCGUGAACAAAGAAUUGUAAUACUGGCAAAAAUCUAAAUUGCUUUCUUUCCCUUUAUUUUCUCAUCACUAAAAUUAGGAAAAUGAACAGAUAUGUCAAAUCUCUUCUAACACCCAUGUUCUGUAACUCUCCUCGUAUGUACCUUAUAAUAAGACAAAGGUAAAGACAUUUCCAUGUGCAGCGAGGAAAAGUAAUAAUAAAAAUUAAAACAACUAGCAAGUAUGAAGCCCUCUUUUUAUACGGUAUGUGCUGUAUAAGCACUUCCCUCAUCCACCUCUAUGUUUUCACAGCACCUCUCAAGGGCUUGGACACGUGCAAAUGCAAACUGGCAAAGCCAGGAGUCAAGCCAGGCUGCUCAGUGGCCUUUGUGCUUCACCCCAGUUUAAUGCACCCGUCUUCAGAAGGGACAUCGUGUAUUAGGUGCUUCAACACAAGAUCCACGAAUAUCUCGUACAUCCCUAAAAUCAAGCAAAUGUCAUCUGAACCCAAUUACUGGGACAGCCCCCUCAUUACUCCCACUUACUUUUAGCCGUAUCUUCCCCAAUCCAAUCUCAAGUGUGAGCCCCAAAAUACUUCUGAUUUUUCACGCCUCCACUUAAAAAUCUUUUGAUUAUGUCAUAUUGCCGUUAGGGUAAAGUUCAAACAACUCAGCUGAUUUUGAGGGCUACAUUGGUGGGUGGUGGAGUACUGCCCGCUUUCCCUUCAUACUGUCAUGACAGUGAGGUUCUGAACUGUUCUUUGUGCAAACCCCACACGCUCUCUGCUCUCUCCAUUCCCAUUUUUGCACGUGUGAGUCUGCUGUCUCCUCUUCUUUGCUUCUCCUUUUCCUAAGAUUUGCCAAGCCAACUACUCUACACCUCCAUCGGAUUUUAGUUUACAUGUCUCUCCCCAUGUUUCUCCCCACUAGAAGCCUCCGUUGAUGAUCCCUUUCUAGACUGUGAUGGACGUACCUCCCAUAGCUCCCAUUGCACCAUUGUACUAAACUUGGACCACUGCAACUGUCAUGUGUCUAUUUAUCCCACAUGUAUAUAAACGCUAUAUGUUGUUUAUCACUAUAUCUUCAGUAAUAAUAAACAGGUAACAUAAUUGCAUAAGUGUGUAUAUCAUAGACCAUCAUGAAGUGUUUAUUGACUGAGAAAAGAAAUAUACAUCGUUGUGAACAUAAUGAAAGACGUCAUUUUUCAGAACAAACAGUUUGAUAAUAGAUGGUAUUGAUGAGGGGGUAUGAAAACAAAUGCUUCCUCAAAUUUUUGAUAUACUUUAACUAGUAAAAUCUCUCUGAUGGUAAAUUUUACAAUAUCUAUCCAUGUUUGAAAUGCAUGACCUAAUUAACUAAGCAAUUUCACUUCUAAAAAUUCGUCCUCUGAUAUACUUGUAGGUAUACACAAGGAUUUAAGAUUGAAAACAACCUAAAUUGUUAUUCAUCCAAACAAUGGAAUUCUCUGGAACUGUCAAGAUACAUAAGAAAACAGAUCCUGAGGCAAAACUUACAAGCCAAGACUUUAUGUGAAGUUGUAAUUCCAGGACUCAAGAAUGAAGGAAAAAGAGAAUCAAGGCUGAAAAGGAGGGGAAAGUAAAUUCAAGGUGGCGAGUUAUGAAUGACUACAGCAUCACAAAACAACAUACCUGCUUUCUUGGUCACCAGCACUUCUUCCAGACAGGACCUACAUCAUUAUAUCCAGAAACAUUCUGUCCACAGGAGAGAGUGGAGAUUCUCUGCCAAUGUCUUCUUGUCUCCUGUUGAAACUGGUUGAAGUUUGUCCCUUAGAGAACUAAUUAAUUCACCCUCACCUCCAGGUUCUGUUACUGGCUCUUUAUGGCAACUGCUAGGGAACCCAGAUCCCCCAGUGAUUGGAGGAACCUCUGAGGAUACAGACUGAUUGCACCUGAGCACCAAACUUGUGAGUCUCCUUCUAAUGCAAUCUCAGUGGAAUCCAGUCACUGGGAGAGGCUGAGGUCACUGGCACAGUUGGGAUAUGAGGCACUGGCAAUGGCAAUGGUGGCUUGGGCUGGCCACUGAGCAAGCAAAGACACAAAGGUGUGAGAGAAUAGAUGGAAGCCAGCCAUUCUGGGGACAUAAAUUGUGUCUUAUGUGCUCCAAUUCUUCUUAUCAUUCAGGUCUUACUUCUCAUGUUAUCUCAUCAGAGAAGCCUCUCGCUCCCUAAACUGCCCUUCUCAGCCAUUAGCUAACAUAGAACUGUGUCUGUGUUAAACUGUUCCCGUGUUCAACCUAGAGUUGAAGAUUGUCAGACUUAUAUCAUGGCCAUAAAAAAUAUGAAGCUACAGUGGGAGCUUGCUGAAUUAGUAUGGAGAAAAAUAUUUUAGGUUCUAUUGAUAGGAAUUGAUUUCAACAGGCAGUGUCUAAGCUAGAUUUAACUAAAAAUAGAACUAUUAUAUUGCAAGGAGGGAAGAGGUCUUUAGAUUACCCAGUCCAGCCCCCUCUCAUGCAUGGUGCUCCCACAGCAUCUCUUCAUGUGAUUUUUUUUUUUAGACUUAAACAAUUGAAGUUACAGAGGAGUCACUACUUUCUAAGACAACCUAGUCAUUUUCAACAGGCUCUGUCAUAAAGUGCUUUCCAUUUUUUUUUUUUAUCAUUAUUCCUCAUUCGAACUGCUGGUGUACCAAAAAAACCUAUGUAUAAUUUACAAUGACUGUACUUGAGCAGCUAGUUUGCGGGGGGCAAAUUGAGGAAUUAGCUUGCAUUCCCACUCAAUUUCCUCUUGCUGUGUUCUGACUCUCACUCUCUCAGGCAAAAGUCUUUGGGAUCCAGAGUCUGACAUUCAUUGCAUUCACUAUUUUUCUUGGUUACUUAUCAAGAGCAGGCCUGAUCUGCAGCAAACUCAAUGAAGUCACCAAUAAAUUUCCUCCCAAAAAGGAUAAGGUUGGCCUCAGAAUGUGCAAUGCACUCCUGGAAACCUUAAUUCAUUCUGACAGUCAUUUGUUUUACAGGCAGUUGGUAAAUGUCUACUUGUAAUUAUAAUGUACUGUUCAAGGUACCAGUAAUUCAGUGAGGAAAAACUAAAGACCCUGCUCUUUUGGUGCUAAACAUUCCAAUGUUCCACUAAUUAAUAACUUCUGUGUAUAGUUAUUAAAAUCCAUAUUAAAACAUUCAGCUGGACUCUCAUUCAAUCUGCAUUCCUGUAUUUGUGUGCAAAGUUUGGUUGGUAAACUAUGCCUAAUAUUCUUUUUAUUGCAUUUCCCUAAGGUAUCAAACAAGAAAUGCUAUCAAGGAAAAUGAUGCUAAUCUAAUAUGACUUUUUAAUUAAUCCAUUUAGAUUUGCAGGGAACAUAUAUUUACUGUUUCAGCAUAUUACAAAGACUUUUUGAGCCUCUUCGUGUAUGAACAUUCUGCUAAUGCUAAGGAUUCAAAGAUGGAUACAAUUAGAUAACUUCCCUGGAAGAGACUACCAUUUAAUUGUAAUAAAUGAAAACCAUUUCCUUUCGUCUUCACUUCUUUUUACGUAGAGUAAUGAAAGUCAAGUGGCAAACACCUUGACCUUUUAACUUAAAAGCCAUUCACAUUCCCUUUCUCCAUCUUCCUAGAAUAUAGAGAUGUACAAGAUGAAAUGCUUUCUUUUCCACUGCCCUUAAGUGAAGUGUGACUAUGUGACCUGGUUCUGAACAAGGAGAUCAAAGCCAAAAUAAUCAAAUGGAGCUUCUUCUGGAGAUGUGUUUUAUUAGUACAGAAAGAUAAUAUGCCCUCUCAGUCCUUUGCCCUUUUCCUUCUUCAUGCUUAGAGAGGAGCUCAAUGCCCACAAGUAUAAUAACCGUCUUGCAACCAUGAAAAUGAAAACCAUUCACUAAGCAUGGAAGAGUCAGAAAAUGUAAUAGGCCUUAGUCCUUGAUGACUUCUUUGAGCAGUUGCCAGCCGACUACAGUCCACCUACUGCUAGACUUUUUAUUAUGUAAGGAAAUUAAACUCUGAUCUGUAUAAGCCACUGUUAAGUGGAUUUAUUUUUUUCUUUACUUGCAGCCAAAUGCAUUCUUAUAACAUGGCACAAAUAAAUUCAGAAAAAUACUUGAUAUAUUGAUUGAAAUAUUCAUAAUAAUCCAUAUAAAAUAAGAUAUUUGGACUAUCUUGUCCCUAAAAUUAUACUUUUAUGGAUAAUUUCCAAACUUAACUAUAAAAUUAG